Molecule: transfer RNA, 75 nt
Filed under: Theionarchaea archaeon DG-70
Lineage: Archaea; Methanobacteriati; Methanobacteriota; Theionarchaea
Also listed under: 2 other names
Description: tRNA-Arg
Rfam family: tRNA
About the family: Transfer RNA (tRNA) molecules are approximately 80 nucleotides in length. Their secondary structure includes four short double-helical elements and three loops (D, anti-codon, and T loops). Further hydrogen bonds mediate the characteristic L-shaped molecular structure. tRNAs have two regions of fundamental functional importance: the anti-codon, which is responsible for specific mRNA codon recognition, and the 3' end, to which the tRNAs corresponding amino acid is attached (by aminoacyl-tRNA synthetases). tRNAs cope with the degeneracy of the genetic code in two manners: having more than one tRNA (with a specific anti-codon) for a particular amino acid; and 'wobble' base-pairing, i.e. permitting non-standard base-pairing at the 3rd anti-codon position.
Source: RNAcentral
GGGCCUGUAGCCUAGCCAGGAUAGGGCGCGAGGCUUCGGACCUCGUAGUCUGGGGUUCGAAUCCCCACAGGCCCG